ACUGAGGUUGUGAGAGAUUAAGUGACUUGCCCAGGGUCACACAACUAUUAAGUGUCCGAAGCAAGAUUUCAGCUCAGAGCUUUCUGAUUUCAAGUGUAACACUCCAUCCACUGUGCCACUUAGCUGCCGUGUUGAAGGCCAUGGCUGUCUCUGGGAGAGAAAAGGUCAUAGGAUCACAGAUCUUACCGGCCUUCAUAUCCACGUGGGCAGGCUGUACAACGAUAGUCAUCGAGUCCUUCUGAGACGCAAGAAGGGCUAAAACUGAAGAGGUGCAGGGUGAGAGAAAGAGGAAAAAAAGGUUUGUAAGUGGAUCAUGUCACAGCAGCUUCAUCAAGUCAAGUGUUUCUCAUAUUCAAGGUGAAAGAUGACCAUUACCUCCAAUUGAUCCACUUACCUGGCUUUCAGUGGAGGCCCCUCGAAAUUUGUGCUCUUCACCAG
Vombatus ursinus (common wombat) is the source of this 438-nucleotide long non-coding RNA. RefSeq lists it as uncharacterized. Lineage: Eukaryota; Metazoa; Chordata; Mammalia; Diprotodontia; Vombatidae. The transcript is spliced from 3 exons. The record is from RefSeq and is a predicted model, not a curated record.